This 520-nucleotide ribosomal RNA is filed under the name uncultured Glomus. RNAcentral's name for it is "SSU rRNA". It matches the Rfam family "Eukaryotic small subunit ribosomal RNA", at positions 569 to 1089 of the family's 1831-position model. Lineage: Eukaryota; Fungi; Glomeromycota; Glomeromycetes; Glomerales; Glomeraceae. The record is from RNAcentral.
AGCAGCCGCGGUAAUUCCAGCUCCAAUAGCGUAUAUUAAAGUUGUUGCAGUUAAAAAGCUCGUAGUUGAAUUUCGGGAUCAAUGCGUCGGUCGUGCUUUCGGGUACGUACUGGUGUCAUUGGUUUCUCCUUUCUGACGAGCCGUGAUGUCAUUAAUUUGGUGUUACGGGUAGUUAGGACUGUUACUUUGAAAAAAUUAGAGUGUUUAAAGCAGGCAUUAGCUUGAAUACAUUAGCAUGGAGUAAUGAAAUAGGACGUUCGAUCCUAUUUUGUUGGUUUCUAGGAUCAACGUAAUGAUUAAUAGGGAUAGUUGGGGGCAUUAGUAUUCAAUUGUCAGAGGUGAAAUUCUUGGAUUUAUUGAAGACUAACUACUGCGAAAGCAUUUGCCAAGGAUGUUUUCAUUAAUCAAGAACGAAAGUUAGGGGAUCGAAGACGAUCAGAUACCGUCGUAGUCUUAACCAUAAACUAUGCCGACUAGGGAUCGGAUGAUGUUAAUUUUUUAAUGACUCAUUCGGCGUCUU